RNAcentral lists this unclassified non-coding RNA (153 nucleotides) under uncultured Schizothecium. RNAcentral describes it as "partial internal transcribed spacer 2". Lineage: Eukaryota; Fungi; Ascomycota; Sordariomycetes; Sordariales; Lasiosphaeriaceae. The record is from RNAcentral.
CAACCAUCAAGCGCCUGCGCUUGUGUUGGAGCCCUGCGGCUGCCGCAGGCUCCCAAACCCAGUGGCGGGCUCGUCGUCGUACCGAGUGCAGUAAACAUACCACGCUCAGGGCACGCGACGGGUGACCGGCCGUAAAACCCCCCACUUUCUCAA